This 240-nucleotide unclassified non-coding RNA is filed under the name soil metagenome. Its description in RNAcentral is "partial contains 5.8S ribosomal RNA, internal transcribed spacer 2, and large subunit ribosomal RNA". The record is from RNAcentral.
AACGCACGAGACCUGCGGACCUGCGGAGGGAUCAUUAAUGAAUAAACUUGGUCAAGCUGUUGCUGGUCUCUCGAGACAUGUGCACGCUUGCCACCAACUUUAACCACCUGUGCACCUUUUGUAGACUGGAAACGUUUCUCGAGGCAACUCGGAUUGGGAACUGUUGCGCGCAAGCCAGCCGUUCUUGUGUUUCUCAGUCUAUGUUUUCAUAUACUCCUAAUGUAUGUAAUCGAAUGUAUU